This 2279-nucleotide unclassified non-coding RNA is filed under the name Hevea brasiliensis (rubber tree). Lineage: Eukaryota; Viridiplantae; Streptophyta; Magnoliopsida; Malpighiales; Euphorbiaceae. The record is from RNAcentral.
UUUAAGGUUUGCCAAUUAGUCCCUACAUUUUGCACUAUUGAAUUGUAAUAGUCAUUGGACAUCUGCACCUCUUGAAGUAAAUGAUGCACCAAAACUACUACCAUAAACAAAACAACCACAAUUGUCUUUUUCUCUGUACAGACAGAUUCUGUAACUUUAUUGCAUACAGCUCUUGAUUUGUUUUUUACUAAAACACUUUUCUAUGGUAGAGGUUCAAAAUUUGCAAAGAUCCAACAUGUCAGCGGCACUGAGGUCAAGUCGUCCAAAUUUUGAUGAUCGUCAAGAUGACAGAUAAACUCAAUGCACACUCAUACUCCGACAAACUUAGUUAAGGCGGAGGUAUCAAGAGCAGUGAACUCUUUCACAGCAUUAAGCACAUCAUGAGCAAGUUUUACAGCAUCCUCCUUGCUUGGUGCCUCAAUAUUAAGGGGUAGAACAGGGUCAUGUAGUGAGAGUCUUAGAAGGAACCACCCGCCAAAUCCAGAAACUCUAACCCCUUCAUAGUUAACAGGUGCUUUCAGAAGCUUCGCAUCCAACUCAACUGUAUUCUCAAGUUGCUUUAACACUGCUUCACCAUAAUCACGGAAGGAUCCUCCUUGAAGAUCUGGGUGAUUCUGAUCAAUCUUUAGUCUAAGUUCAACAGCAACAGCUGGUUCUUCAAGACCCUCCACCAUGUCAGUUAAGACUUUGCUUCCUCCGCCUAGUCCUGAUGUUCUAGCUGAUGCAAGCUUAUUCAGUAACUUCACCAUAAGGUAUGCACCAUCAUCAAGCCAAUGAUUCUCCUUGAGAGCUCCAUGUCCACUAGUUUCAAUAGCCAGAUGUGCUUCUUCACCAACAGAGUUCAGACGAAUAGCCUCAUCAAUAACAUUCUUGUAUCCUCUUUUGAACCUAUGAUGCUUCCCUCCUAGUUUCUUUUCAAUAAAUGUUGUCAGCCCAUCUGAUGUUACACUGUCUGUGACAAUAGUGGUCCCAGGAUGUUCCUCCAAAACAAUUGCGGACAUUAAAGCAAUCAAACGAUUUCUGUUAAAUUCACGACCACUCGAAUCCACAGCCGCAGACCUGUCAACAUCUGUAUCAAAGAUGAUUCCCAAAUCAGCCCUGUUAUCAAGUACUGCCUUGGUAAUAGCUUUCAUGGCUGUCUUAUCCUCUGGGUUAGGUAUAUGAUUGGGAAACAAACCAUCUGGCUCCAAGAACUGACUGCCAGAAGUAAUAGCACCCAGAGGCUCAAGCACCUUCCCCACAAAGAAUCCGCCUGCUCCAUUCCCUGCAUCAACAAUGAUAUGGAAUCCUUCCAGUGGCUUUUCUAUACUUCCUGCAGCUUUGCGGACUGCUGCUACAAGAUUAGAUGCAUAAACAGACAUGUAAUCCACUCUUUUCACAUCGAGAGAAGCAGCUGUUUCUGCUCCCUUAGAAUUUUCAUUUGCAAUAUUUUUGUAUAUAUCAGCAGCUCGCUCCAAGAUAUCUUUGAUGUCAGGCUUCCCAAGUCCACCUGCACUUGUAAAGAACUUGAACCCAUUCCUGUUGUAGGGAAGAUGGCUUGCUGUUAUCAUUAUGGAACCAUCCACUGGACAGGAAAAUUCUUCAUUUUCGGUAAGAGUGCUAUUGAACAUGGCUGGAGUGGAUGCCAAUCCAUAUUGGAUGACUUCAACUCCAGCUCUAGCAAGUCCUCGAGAAACUGCAUCCUGUAACUUCUGUGCAGAAAUUCGUGAGUCAUGACCGACGGAGACUCUUAAACAUUUAGAAGAAACAUUUUUCUUUUUUGCCAGCAACCAACCAGAAAAACCUGCUGCUAUUGCUUCUGUAACUGUCUCUGUGAGAGUAAGAGGUUCCCCCUCAACUCCAUCAAUAGCUACUCCACGUAUAUCACUUCCAUUCUGAAGCUUAAGAAAGUUGCUUUUCUCAACAGACGGGAUUGCAGUGGACGACGAGGCAGCAUUGCAAUAAACAUUUCCUCGCUUAGAUUUUGAUAAGGCAUCCAGUUGCAUGGUGGAGUUGCCAUUCCAUGCCAACUUCCCUCCUACAGGGGGGAGCAAGUUGCGCCUACUAAGGGUACAAUAGUACAAUCGGUAUUUUGUGCUCAAUUCCCUAUCCUGCUGGCAGCACUUUGCUACCAGGUUAUGUUGGACAACCUUCCCUGAUAUUGCUGCCAUUUUGGGGACACGCAGAUGCAGGAUCUCGAUUACGAUAUUGAGGGAUAGAAGGAGAGUGAGGAUGAUGGGCGGAGAACGAGAAGUAUAUCUAAAGUACUAUCAAGGAAUAAACAAAUGAGGCACCGAGUU